CUCCGCGUGCCUAAUGAUAAGGCUUCUGACUUCGAAACAGAAGAUGCAGGUUCGAGUCCUGUCCGGAGA
This 69-nucleotide transfer RNA is filed under the name Araneus ventricosus. It matches the Rfam family "tRNA". Rfam says of the family: Transfer RNA (tRNA) molecules are approximately 80 nucleotides in length. Their secondary structure includes four short double-helical elements and three loops (D, anti-codon, and T loops). Lineage: Eukaryota; Metazoa; Arthropoda; Arachnida; Araneae; Araneidae. The record is from Rfam by way of RNAcentral.